CCAAUAGCGUAUAUUAAAGUUGUUGCAGUUAAAAAGCUCGUAGUUGAAUUUCGGAAUUCUUUUAUCGGUUGAAUCAACAGGUUCGUACUGAUUUUAAGAAUUUCUACCUUCUGGAGAACCUUAAUGUCAUUUAUUUGGUGUUUUGGGGAACCAGGACUGUUACCUUGAAAAAAUUAGAGUGUUUAAAGCAGGCUUAUGUCUGAAUAUAUUAGCAUGGAAUAAUGAAAUAGGACGGCAUGGUUCUAUUUUGUUGGUUUCUAGGAUCACCGUAAUGAUUAAUAGGGAUAGUUGGGGGCAUUAGUAUUCAAUUGUCAGAGGUGAAAUUCUUGGAUUUAUUGAAGACUAACGUCUGCGAAAGCAUUUGCCAAGGAUGUUUUCAUUAAUCAAGAACGAAAGUUAGGGGAUCGAAGACGAUCAGAUACCGUCGUAGUCUUAACCAUAAACUAUGCCGACUAGGGAUCGGAUGAUGUUAUUUUUUAAUGACUCAUUCGGCACCUUACG
Molecule: unclassified non-coding RNA, 501 nt
Filed under: uncultured Pacispora
Lineage: Eukaryota; Fungi; Glomeromycota; Glomeromycetes; Diversisporales; Pacisporaceae
Description: SSU rRNA
Rfam family: Eukaryotic small subunit ribosomal RNA
Source: RNAcentral